CGAGCGACUUCAGUCGCGGAGCCGGAGACCCGCGCCCUCGCGAGAGCAGAACAGAGAAAAGCGGUAUGUGUUUCGCUUGGCAGGAAAACACUUGCUUUCAAGACUCCACUUCCAAAAUGCACAAGUGUCUGGGCUGUUCAGCAAGCCGGCCUUAGUUUUUCCCUCUUAACGCGGUAGCACGUAAUUGAGAACAAAAAAAAGCAGCCCCUGACAUCCAGGAACUGGCCUGACACUUACAGCCUUUCAGGUAGUCCUCCUGUUUCCAGGCCUCACCUUCAGAACCUGGCACCUCUGGUUUCUGAAAGGGGAAGAUGACUGUUUCCGGGCUUCCCUUGAGUUCAGGUUCAGGUUUCCUCUGCUACAUCAAUGAGCAGUGAGGUGCCAGGAGAGAGGAAGAAUUAACUUCUCUGCUCAACGUGCCAUGCUUAUCUAGCAGAAUCACCCCCGUCUCUUCAAGGACCUGUGAUUCCUCAACUAUUUUUCCUUAUACCUUCUUCCCAUCUCACUCCCAAAUAUAUAGUGACAUUCAUACUUUUGUUCAAGGAACAUGAACUGAAUGUCUACCAUGUGUGGGUGCUGGGACUUGAAUUGUGAUCAAGCUACAAUCCCUGACUACUCUACAAGAGGUUCCAGUCUGGAGGAGGCAAGCACUUGGAGACGUAAGGAGUGCAAAGCACAGCAUGUGCACGACGCCAGGGCAGCGUAGGGGAAAGGUUACUUCUCUUCUUGGGGCAUCAGAGAAGACUCCCCAGAGGGAGAGGUGUUUAAACAGAUUUCAAGAGAAAGUGAGAAUUGGUCCUACCAAACGCAUCUGUGCCCCAACAAGAUGGCAUGAAGAGCCAGAGACCUUCACAGAACCCAGGCAUCCAACCUCCCCCCUGCCCCCUCAUCCCUGCUCUGGGGGACUCCAAUGGGUGUUCUCUGUGUCCUUGAUACUCCCUCUGAGUGUGAAGAAGGCAGGAAUUGCCCGAGACUCGAAUGGUCUACUACCUGUAGGAAAUGUGGGUGGGGAGAUGGAUAGAGACUUUAUUUUCUGGUCAGGGACUGCAGUCUGCUCAUUUUCCAUCCCUUUCCCCAAAUUUCUGGUCAUUUAGUUUGAAUUCUUUACUUCUCUCUCAAGCUGUAACCCAGACCAUGUACCUCAACUGCUCAUCUGUCAGGAGAGCAGGAGGGGCACCGAGGAUCCUAUUCAAGGCCCAGCUUCUCCAAAGGAGUUACACUUGUAAGAAGAAAUUAAACAGAUUUGAUCUUGUUAGUUUAUUGAAUAAAUCAAUCCUGGGUAAAGAAAAAACAGAACGAGCUUUGGGGACAGAGGUUGGGGAAGUGAGAGAAUCCCCCGGCCCCUGUGGUGUGGGUAGAGGGGUCACUUGUAAAACUCAUGCUCCUGUUCGUCCUUCUUGAUGACUGUCUUGUACGCUUUCUCGAAGUCCUUGGCCAGAACAAUGUAGCGGUUCUCUCGGACAGCCAACAUGCCGCUCUGUUGAGGGAUGAGAGUUAAAAUCUACUCCCUGCACUCCCCGCCCCUAGUGAUGGUGCAGGAAGAGACAGACGCAGCCUAAGACCCAGGGAGGCAAUGAUGGACAGGACUGCGGCAGAGUGGAGGGUCUUCACACACCCCCUGCCCAAUCUAGAGAGAAACCAUCACUCACCUCCUGACAGAUGGAGUUGAUAUCAGCUCCUGAAAUCUUAUCUGGUCGGGCCACAUCUAUGGCAGGUGAGUUAAGGAAACCACUCCACGCAUGACUGGGUGAAUGCCUGGAGCUAGAAGUCAUUCUUGGGCUGUCUUUGUCACCAUCCCCCUCCCCAGACCUUGGUCUCCCACCUGCACAAUCUGGGUGGGGGUGAUGGCAGGGGUGGAGAUCUAAUCCCCAUUCUCAACGGUGACCCUCCCCUCGCUUCUAAGUCAGGAUACAAUCUUCCAAGUCAACCUCCUCAGAGAGGUUCAUCUUGCUGGUGAUAGUGGAGAAAAUCAAUCUCUUCUGGCGGCGGUCAGGGAGUGGAAAUUCAAUUUUACGGUCAAGGCGUCCCGGCCGCAGCAGAGCAGGAUCCAGGGUGUCUGCUCUGUUUGUGGCCAUGAUCACCUGGCAUUGGGGACAGGCCAGCUCAGACCUCUGUCCCCACUAUACUCUCCAUCCUGUUGCAAUACCUAUCUCCUCACAUGCCAGCCUCCAUCCUUCCCUGAUUCCCACAACCACACCUCCCCUUGCCCAUCCUGAACCCCAAACCUUGACAUUGACGUUCUGGUCAAAUCCAUCCAUUUGAUUCAGUAGCUCCAGCAGGAUUCUCUGAACCUCCCUGUCAGCUGGAUAGUAUAUAACACGGUCAGUCCAGGGCAUCCCGCAUGACAAGCCUGCCCAAGACCCCAGGCCCUGGGACUUCCCUGGUGGCACAGUGGUUAAUAAUCCGCCUGCCAGUGCAGAGGACACGGGUUCAAGCCCCGGUCCAGGAAGAUCCCACGUGCCGCGGAGCAACUAAGCCCGUGCGCCACAACUGAGCCUGCGCUCUAAGGCCUGCGAGUCACAACUACUGAGCCCACACGCUGCAACUACUGAAGCCUGUGCGCCUAGAACCAGUGCUCUGCAGCAAGAGAAGCCUCUGCAAUGAGAAGCCUGGGCACCGCAACGAAGAGUAGCCCCUGCUCGCCGCAGCUAGAGAAAGCCCACACGCAGCAACGAAGCCCCAACGCAGCCAAAAAAAUUAAUUCAUUUAAAAAAAAAAAAAAACCCCAGGCCCUGUUUGGGCAUCACUCACCCCCUGUCUGGGCAUCGAAUCUCUUGGUUGCAAUGGCAUCAAUCUCAUCUAUGAAGAUGAUGGCAGGUGCGUUCUCCUUGGCCAGGCGGAACACAUCCCGGACCAUGCGAGGGCCCUCACCCAGGUACUUCUGUACAAACUCUGAGCCCACAACUCGGAUGAAUGCAGCUGAUGGCAGGAUGACAGGGGUUAGAUGAGAAUGGGACACCUGUAGGACCCCAUAAUACUUUAACUGAAACUGAGAAUUCCUUGAGGACAUCUCUUUCUUUGGAUACCCACUCCAAGUAGCCAGGUCAUUCUCUCAUGACCUGGGCUGGGUCCCAGAUCCAGCCAGGAGGACCAGCUUGUACCCCACAGAGACCCAGCAGCCCAAAUCAUGAAUCCUGCCUCCGGAUGUGUCAAUUUUUGGCCCAACAUUUAAAAAUCAGGGUAUUAAAAAAAAAUGUGUCUGUGCUUCAACAUACCGACAAAGUAGAGCUAGAGACAUUCGUGGAAUCCAACAUACCAAAAAAUGUGAAUUUCCGGAGUGCUUGAAAAAUCAGUAAGAAAACAGGUUUUCCAUACACAGGCAUCAUGCUGCCUCACCAAGAGCUCAAAGGACCCACUUUUGAAUAUCAUGCAAGAGUCAGGAACCAGGAAUACAUACUCUGACAUAAUCAACAAGUGGCAAUGGGGUUAAAGACAGGUUUGCUCUGGGCUUGCCACUCCUUUCCAUCUUUUCUUAGAGUUUAACUUGUUAGUGACUGGAUGUGGCUUUGUGUUGCACGGAGCAACCUCCAGGACACUCCUUCCGGCCACCACAGAGAAAGGAGACACAAAGUCCAUUAUGUAGAUCUGGUCAUAAACUAGGAGUUGUGCAAGUUGCAGCCCUGUCCCUCUCUAAUGUGGUGGCCACUGGCCACAAGUAGCUACUGAGCAACCGAAAUGUGGCUGGUCCAAAAUGAGAUGUGCUGUAAAUGUGAAAUACACACCAGACUUCAAAAGACAGUACAAAAAAAGUAAAAUAUCUCAAUAAAUGUCCAUCAACAAAUGAAUAGAUAAAGUGUGCUAUAUACAUACAAUAGAAUAUUAUUUGGAAUAUUAUUUGGCCUUCAAAAGGAAAUAAAUUCUGGCACAUGUUUCAACAUGGGUAAGCCCCAAAGACAUUAUGCUAAGGGAAAUAAGCCAGUCACAAAAAGACAAAUACUGUAUGAUUCAUCCAUGUAUAUAAGGUGCCCAGAAUAGGCAAAUUCAUAGAGACAGAAAGUAGAAUAGAGGUUAUCAGGGCUGCGGGGAGGGAGAAAUAGGGAAUGAUUGUUUAAUGGGUAUGGAGUUACAGUUUGGAUGAUGAACAAGUCUCAGAAGUGGAUAGUGGUGAUGGCUGUACAACACUGUGAAUCCACUUAAUGCCACUUAUAAACUGUAUAUUUAUAAAGUGGUUAAAAUGGUAAAUUUUAUGCUAUAUAUAUUUUACUACAAUAAAAAAUUAUAGAAAAAACUCAAGUUUUGUAUCU
Eubalaena glacialis (North Atlantic right whale) is the source of this 4244-nucleotide long non-coding RNA. RefSeq lists it as uncharacterized. Lineage: Eukaryota; Metazoa; Chordata; Mammalia; Artiodactyla; Balaenidae. The record is from RefSeq and is a predicted model, not a curated record. The transcript has 4 exons.